UGAAUUACAAUUGCAGUGGGAGCCGUAAGUCUGAGUAUCUUGACUGUUGUGUGCAGUAAAUGGAAACUCCACCAUGCUGUUAUAUUAAUUUGGUGUUUUUUCUUUAGGGAAAAAUCUUGAAAUUCUUUGCCUUAAAACUCCAGUGGAAGUAAUGGAGAGUUUUAAAACCAGAAGGGUUCAGAUACGGGGAUUCAAUGCCCAGUUCAUAUAGGCUUGCUUGAAAUACCAUAUUUAAAUGAGAAAAACAGCAACGCUGUAGAAAUCUCAGCUGUGGACUGUGAGGCCGUAACUGUGUACAGAGUUUGGCAUGAGGCACUGGGACUACCUGAGAUCGUUAAUUGCCACCGGAAAAAGACUUUAUGAAACGUGGGCUCUUGUAGCCAGGACAUAGCCCUGGGUGGUAAGCCUACAAUCAGCAAAAACCAUGCACCAUAAAAGCUUGUGCAAAGAUUCAGCCUUGAUUUGAAUUUUGGGGCUUGUUUGUAUUUCAAAAGCAAAGCUACUGAAUUGCAUCUUGAAAACCAUAUUCCAGUGCAAGUUUUGAGAAAACACAGCCCAGGUUUGAUCAAAAGGUUCUCAAGUCUGCAAAUUUUUGACAAACCUGAUGAAUGUUUACAGUUUCUAAGUAAACCCCAAACCAAGUGCAUUUGCAUGGGCUGGCAUCUUGCUAUGGAGAUUUUUAUUUCCGCUCCCCACCCCCACCCCCAUCCCCCACCGGUUCUUGCCAAAGCCUCUUCCAUGUCCUGGAAUUGGGCUUUCAAAGUAGGCAUUCUAAUAAUUUUAUUGAUAAAUGUGCCAGCAGGCACACAAAAAAAUAAAUAUCUACACGCAAAUGUAAUAUUUAGCUGUAUUUGUAAAAUGCCAAAUAAAAAGCAAUUUUGUAUUUUGGUUUAAUUUAAUGUCCCUUCGUGUGGAUCAGACUGCACAGCGUUGGCUUGUCCAAACCGCUAAGAUA
Falco peregrinus (peregrine falcon) is the source of this 955-nucleotide long non-coding RNA. RefSeq lists it as uncharacterized. The transcript is spliced from 3 exons. The record is from RefSeq and is a predicted model, not a curated record. NCBI's taxonomy places the organism in Eukaryota, Metazoa, Chordata, Aves, Falconiformes, Falconidae.